Long non-coding RNA from Salmo salar (Atlantic salmon), 1017 nucleotides. RefSeq lists it as uncharacterized. The record is from RefSeq and is a predicted model, not a curated record. NCBI's taxonomy places the organism in Eukaryota, Metazoa, Chordata, Actinopteri, Salmoniformes, Salmonidae.
GAUAUGUUUUUUAUCCAGCCGUGAAAAUACUGCCCCCUAGCCAUAACAGGUUAAACAGCUACCCAUCCACUCUGACCAGCCACCUUUUGUUUUUGCCUUAAGUGACCUAUGUCUCAUGUAACCGUACAAACGUAACAUAUCAUACUAAUUUAAGUGUCCCUGAUUUACAUUGACUAUGUCACGUCUAGUCUAUGAGACCAGGCUGCCUUUACACUAUGAUGUUUAAUAUUUAUCUAAUGAAUUCAGUGUAUCUGUGAUCAUCAGAGAUCAAUGUUCUCUUAUUCAGGAAUCUACCAACUGGGUUCAGGUUGAACCUGUGGCCAUCACUAAAGAAGCCCCAAUGUUCAGGUACAUUCCUGGAAUGUAUUAGUCCCUCGCCAUAAUACAGACGAUUAAAAACUUUACGUUUUGUUAUCCAACAAUUCUGUUUUAAGAUACUAAUAAUAAUGACUAGAUUGAAUAUACCUGCUAACACUUAUUUAAAGAAGACAGUCUGACUUCAUUGCAUGUGUUUAAUUAAUUGUAAAAAAAAAAGAAAAAUAACAAAUAGAGUCUGAGAAUUUAUAAAUUUACAGUAGAACAAGUGGAUGAAGUCACCCGCUUCCACGUCAAGAUCGUCCAUCCAUCCUUCUCUCCAAAAGGAGUUCUCGUGAGAUCUGGCUGUCCAGUGAAAGCCCACUGUGACUUGCUGCUCUACCAGGCCAAGACAGCAUUCCUCACGCUACAUGCAUAUCUGGUACCCUGUGAUUCUUCUGUGGAACAGGCAAUGAAGAAAAAGGAGCAGUCUUAUGGAUACAGGAGUAUCAGAAAGCCGCAACCAGUGAAGUCCCUUCGGAUGAAGGAUUGGUUCAGCCUCACAACGUCGUCUCCUUCUGCUGAAGUUAAACCUCCUAAAAUGAAGCUGAGAUAUGACAACACUACACCAAACUUCUUUGAGGUGUUCAUAGAAGAUGCAGAUGUUGACUUCAGUAUGAAGCUAAUCAGUGAUGUGGAGGGGGAAAUCGUAUGGGAUCACAC